AGGUCUAAUCGUCAAUUGCAUUUGCAUUCAUUAAAUUUCUUGUGAUAAAAAUCUCAUUUGAAUAAUGAAGUUAAUUUCUGUAUUGAUUGUAAUUGCGGUGGUAAUAAUGGCUGCCAGUGGACAGCGAUGCAGGGGACGUCGAGAGCCGUGUCAAACCGACAAUGACUGCUGCAAUUUCGCUUGUCGUGGACGCAGCAAGAUUUGUGCAUAAUAUAGGACCUACGGUGUACGGAUCAUCCUCCGGGGAACUUUGCAACCAAAAAAAGACACGAGAAUUUAUUUAAAAAAUCAAAAUAAAAAAUAUCACACCCUCCAAACACCCAUUGCAUUUAUCAUUUGUUAUUAUAUAUUAUUAUUCCAAGAUUAUUCACGCCCAGAUGUCAGAAGAAUGACGUCAAAAUCUUUUCUUGUUCUCUCUCUGAUCAUAAACAAUUUUAGAAUUAAUUAAUAAUCCCGAUAUUUUCUCAGCCAAGAAAUGAAAACAGUUAAAUGUGGAAUAAUCGAUUUCAUUGAAAAAAAAAUCUUAAAAAUCUUGAAUGAGUUCUCAUAUAAAAGUGCGCGUGGAGUUCCUUCACCAGUCGUAAUUGAAUCAAUCGAGUGCACACCAGAAAAAGGUUCAAAAAAUAUAUUUGGAAUAAUGAAGUUCAUUUCAUUUUUUGCGGUGAUCGCGAUGGUGUUGGUGGCUGUGAGUGGCCAACGUUGUAGGGACCGAAGACAGAGGUGCGGACACGAUAACGACUGCUGCAACUGGUCUUGCAUUCCGGGUAGACAAAUCUGCGCCUAAUGGAGGACUGACGAGGAAACGAGGACUGAAUUUCAAUGGAUUAACGAUCAAUCAACUUUAUUAUUUAAAAAUGUAAAAAAAAAAUUCUUUUCGAAGAUGUUAUCUCCACAGUAAUCCUUUAUAAUUAUUCAUUUAUAAUUGUUCAAUAACGGAAAUAUAAAUAUUAAAACAUA
Molecule: long non-coding RNA, 957 nt
Organism: Fopius arisanus
Lineage: Eukaryota; Metazoa; Arthropoda; Insecta; Hymenoptera; Braconidae
Exons: 5
Source: RefSeq, a predicted model, not a curated record